GGUUAAGCGACUAAGCGUACACGGUGGAUGCCCUGGCAGUCAGAGGCGAUGAAGGACGUGCUAAUCUGCGAAAAGCGUCGGUAAGGUGAUAUGAACCGUUAUAACCGGCGAUGUCCGAAUGGGGAAACCCAGUGCAAUUCGUUGCACUAUCGUUAACUGAAUACAUAGGUUAACGAGGCGAACCGGGGGAACUGAAACAUCUAAGUACCCCGAGGAAAAGAAAUCAACCGAGAUUCCCCCAGUAGCGGCGAGCGAACGGGGAGCAGCCCAGAGUCUGAAUCAGCUUGUGUGUUAGUGGAACGGUCUGGAAAGUCCGACGGUACAGGGUGAUAGUCCCGUACACCAAAAUGCACAGGUUGUGAACUCGAAGAGUAGGGCGGGACACGUGGUAUCCUGUCUGAAUAUGGGGGGACCAUCCUCCAAGGCUAAAUACUCCUGACUGACCGAUAGUGAACCAGUACCGUGAGGGAAAGGCGAAAAGAACCCCGGCGAGGGGAGUGAAAAAGAACCUGAAACCGUGUACGUACAAGCAGUGGGAGCACCUUCGGGUGUGACUGCGUACCUUUUGUAUAAUGGGUCAGCGACUUAUAUUCUGUAGCAAGGUUAACCGUAUAGGGGAGCCGCAGGGAAACCGAGUCUUAACUGGGCGUUAAGUUGCAGGGUAUAGACCCGAAACCCGGUGAUCUAGCCAUGGGCAGGUUGAAGGUUGGGUAACACUAACUGGAGGACCGAACCGACUAAUGUUGAAAAAUUAGCGGAUGACUUGUGGCUGGGGGUGAAAGGCCAAUCAAACCGGGAGAUAGCUGGUUCUCCCCGAAAGCUAUUUAGGUAGCGCCUCGUGAAUUCAUCUUCGGGGGUAGAGCACUGUUUCGGCUAGGGGGUCAUCCCGACUUACCAACCCGAUGCAAACUACGAAUACCGAAGAAUGUUAUCACGGGAGACACACGGCGGGUGCUAACGUCCGUCGUGAAGAGGGAAACAACCCAGACCGCCAGCUAAGGUCCCAAAGUCAUGGUUAAGUGGGAAACGAUGUGGGAAGGCACAGACAGCCAGGAUGUUGGCUUAGAAGCAGCCAUCAUUUAAAGAAAGCGUAAUAGCUCACUGGUCGAGUCGGCCUGCGCGGAAGAUGUAACGGGGCUAAACCAUGCACCGAAGCUGCGGCAGCGACACUAUGUGUUGUUGGGUAGGGGAGCGUUCUGUAAGCCUGCGAAGGUGACCUGUGAGGGUUGCUGGAGGUAUCAGAAGUGCGAAUGCUGACAUAAGUAACGAUAAAGCGGGUGAAAAGCCCGCUCGCCGGAAGACCAAGGGUUCCUGUCCAACGUUAAUCGGGGCAGGGUGAGUCGACCCCUAAGGCGAGGCCGAAAGGCGUAGUCGAUGGGAAACAGGUUAAUAUUCCUGUACUUGGUGUUACUGCGAAGGGGGGACGGAGAAGGCUAUGUUAGCCGGGCGACGGUUGUCCCGGUUUAAGCAUGUAGGCUGGUUAUCCAGGCAAAUCCGGAUAAUCAAGGCUGAGGUGUGAUGACGAGGCACUACGGUGCUGAAGUAACAAAUGCCCUGCUUCCAGGAAAAGCCUCUAAGCAUCAGGUAACAUCAAAUCGUACCCCAAACCGACACAGGUGGUCAGGUAGAGAAUACCAAGGCGCUUGAGAGAACUCGGGUGAAGGAACUAGGCAAAAUGGUGCCGUAACUUCGGGAGAAGGCACGCUGGUGUGUAGGUGAAGCCCCUGCGGGUGGAGCUGAGACCAGUCGAAGAUACCAGCUGGCUGCAACUGUUUAUUAAAAACACAGCACUGUGCAAACACGAAAGUGGACGUAUACGGUGUGACGCCUGCCCGGUGCCGGAAGGUUAAUUGAUGGGGUUAUCCGUAAGGAGAAGCUCUUGAUCGAAGCCCCGGUAAACGGCGGCCGUAACUAUAACGGUCCUAAGGUAGCGAAAUUCCUUGUCGGGUAAGUUCCGACCUGCACGAAUGGCGUAAUGAUGGCCAGGCUGUCUCCACCCGAGACUCAGUGAAAUUGAACUCGCUGUGAAGAUGCAGUGUACCCGCGGCAAGACGGAAAGACCCCGUGAACCUUUACUAUAGCUUGACACUGAACAUUGAGCCUUGAUGUGUAGGAUAGGUGGGAGGCUUUGAAGCGUGGACGCCAGUCUGCGUGGAGCCAACCUUGAAAUACCACCCUUUAAUGUUUGAUGUUCUAACGUUGGCCCCUUACCGGGGUUGCGGACAGUGUCUGGUGGGUAGUUUGACUGGGGCGGUCUCCUCCCAAAGCGUAACGGAGGAGCACGAAGGUUAGCUAAUCCUGGUCGGACAUCAGGAGGUUAGUGCAAUGGCAUAAGCUAGCUUGACUGCGAGCGUGACGGCGCGAGCAGGUGCGAAAGCAGGUCAUAGUGAUCCGGUGGUUCUGAAUGGAAGGGCCAUCGCUCAACGGAUAAAAGGUACUCCGGGGAUAACAGGCUGAUACCGCCCAAGAGUUCAUAUCGACGGCGGUGUUUGGCACCUCGAUGUCGGCUCAUCACAUCCUGGGGCUGAAGUAGGUCCCAAGGGUAUGGCUGUUCGCCAUUUAAAGUGGUACGCGAGCUGGGUUUAGAACGUCGUGAGACAGUUCGGUCCCUAUCUGCCGUGGGCGCUGGAGAAUUGAGGGGGGCUGCUCCUAGUACGAGAGGACCGGAGUGGACGCAUCACUGGUGUUCGGGUUGUCAUGCCAAUGGCACUGCCCGGUAGCUAAAUGCGGAAGAGAUAAGUGCUGAAAGCAUCUAAGCACGAAACUUGCCCCGAGAUGAGUUCUCCCUGAGACUUUAAGUCUCCUGAAGGAACGUUAAAGACGAUGACGUUGAUAGGCCGGGUGUGUAAGCGCAGCGAUGCGUUGAGCUAACCGGUACUAAUGAACCGUGAGGCUUAACCUU
Molecule: ribosomal RNA, 2902 nt
Filed under: Escherichia coli
Lineage: Bacteria; Pseudomonadati; Pseudomonadota; Gammaproteobacteria; Enterobacterales; Enterobacteriaceae
Also listed under: 1 other name
Description: 23S ribosomal RNA
Rfam family: Bacterial large subunit ribosomal RNA
Source: RNAcentral